This 566-nucleotide ribosomal RNA is filed under the name uncultured bacterium. RNAcentral describes it as "bacterial SSU rRNA". It matches the Rfam family "Bacterial small subunit ribosomal RNA", at positions 341 to 914 of the family's 1533-position model. The record is from RNAcentral.
ACGGGAGGCAGCAGUGGGGAAUCUUGUGCAAUGGGCGAAAGCCUGACGCAGCAACGCCGCGUGGGGGAUGACGGCCUUCGGGUUGUAAACCUCUUUCGACAUCGACGAAGCCUUCGGGUGACGGUAGGUGUAGAAGAAGCACCGGCUAACUACGUGCCAGCAGCCGCGGUAAUACGUAGGGUGCGAGCGUUGUCCGGAAUUAUUGGGCGUAAAGAGCUCGUAGGCGGUUUGUCGCGUCGGCCGUGAAAACCUGCCGCUUAACGGUGGGCGUGCGGUCGAUACGGGCAGACUUGAGUUCGGUAGGGGAGACUGGAAUUCCUGGUGUAGCGGUGAAAUGCGCAGAUAUCAGGAGGAACACCGGUGGCGAAGGCGGGUCUCUGGGCCGAUACUGACGUUGAGGAGCGAAAGCGUGGGGAGCGAACAGGAUUAGAUACCCUGGUAGUCCACGCCGUAAACGGUGGGCGCUAGGUGUGGGGACUGUUUCCACGGUUCCUGUGCCGUAGCUAACGCAUUAAGCGCCCCGCCUGGGGAGUACGGCCGCAAGGCUAAAACUCAAAGGAAUUGAC